AACGAACGCUGGCGGCAUGCCUAACACAUGCAAGUCGAACGAGAUCUUCGGGUCUAGUGUCGCACGGGUGCGUAACGCGUGGGAGUCUGCCCUUUGGUUCGGAAUAACAGUUGGAAACGACUGCUAAUACCGGAUGAUGACGAAAGUCCAAAGAUUUAUCGCCAGAGGAUGAGCCCGCGUAGGAUUAGCUAGUUGGUGUGGUAAAGGCGCACCAAGGCGACGAUCCUUAGCUGGUCUGAGAGGAUGAUCAGCCACACUAGGACUGAGACACGGCCCAGACUCCUACGGGAGGCAGCAGUGGGGAAUAUUGGACAAUGGGCGAAAGCCUGAUCCAGCAAUGCCGCGUGAGUGAUGAAGGCCUUAGGGUUGUAAAGCUCUUUUACCCGGGAUGAUAAUGACAGUACCGGGAGAAUAAGCUCCGGCUAACUCCGUGCCAGCCGCCGCCGUAA
RNAcentral lists this ribosomal RNA (449 nucleotides) under uncultured bacterium. Its description in RNAcentral is "partial 16S ribosomal RNA". It matches the Rfam family "Bacterial small subunit ribosomal RNA", at positions 29 to 523 of the family's 1533-position model. The record is from RNAcentral.